GGGGAAUUUUGGACAAUGGGCGAAAGCCUGAUCCAGCAAUGCCGCGUGUGUGAAGAAGGCCUUCGGGUUGUAAAGCACUUUUGUCCGGCAAGAAAUGGCUCUGGUUGAUACCUGGGGUCGAUGACGGUACCGGAAGAAUAAGGACCGGCUCACUACGUGCCAGCAGCCGCGGUAAUACGUAGGGUCCAAGCGUUAAUCGGAAUUACUGGGCGUAAAGCGUGCGCAGGCGGUUGUGCUAGACCGAUGUGAAAUCCCCGAGCUUAACUUGGGAAUUGCAUUGGUGACUGCACGGCUAGAGUGUGUCAGACGGGGGUAGAAUUCCACGUGUAGCAGUGAGAUGCGUAGUGAUGUGGAGGAAUACCGAUGGCGAAGGCAGCCCCCUGGGAUAACACUGACGCUCAUGCACGAAAGCGUGGGGAGCAAAC
RNAcentral lists this ribosomal RNA (425 nucleotides) under uncultured bacterium. RNAcentral's name for it is "bacterial SSU rRNA". It matches the Rfam family "Bacterial small subunit ribosomal RNA", at positions 356 to 773 of the family's 1533-position model. The record is from RNAcentral.